RNAcentral lists this ribosomal RNA (445 nucleotides) under Podagrion sp. LK-2005. RNAcentral's name for it is "eukaryotic LSU rRNA". Lineage: Eukaryota; Metazoa; Arthropoda; Insecta; Hymenoptera; Torymidae. The record is from RNAcentral.
AAACNUGAGAAACCCAAAAGAUCGAAUGGGGAGAUUCAUCGCCAACGUUAUUGGCUUCCGUGUGGUUCGCGAUGUGGCACAUUAUGUAGCAACACGCAGCCGCUGCGGUAUGUCCGGUAUCAUCGGCGUGCACUUCUCCCCUAGUAGGACGUCGCGACCCGUUGGGUGCUGGCCUACGGCCCGGUUGGUCGCCUGUCGCGCUUCACGUUCACGCGUGUGCGCGGCAGACCAUCGGUCGCCUGGCCGGCUGCCCGGCGGUAUAGAACGCAUUAAAACGGUAUUGGGCCGCACACAUCGUGCGUCCAGGCUCGUCGGCAGGCUCGCCUCGCUCGGAUUUACGGACCUAGUGCCGUUGCCGGGUGCUUGGUGUGGCCGUUAGUCGACGAUGUCCUCGGACCGGCUCUUUAAUAUUACCGGUCGGCGACGCUACUGCUUUGGGUACUUU